Molecule: ribosomal RNA, 433 nt
Filed under: uncultured bacterium
Lineage: Bacteria
Description: partial 16S ribosomal RNA
Rfam family: Bacterial small subunit ribosomal RNA
Source: RNAcentral
AACGAACGCUGGCGGCAUGCCUAACACAUGCUAGUCGAACGAGACCUUCGGGUCUAGUGGCGCACGGGUGCGUAACGCGUGGGAACCUGCCCUUAGGUUCGGAAUAACUCCCCGAAAGGGGUGCUAAUACCGGAUAAUGUCUUCGGACCAAAGAUUUAUCGCCUUUGGAUGGGCCCGCGUUGGAUUAGCUAGUUGGUAGGGUAAAAGCCUACCAAGGCGACGAUCCAUAGCUGGUCUGAGAGGAUGAUCAGCCACACUGGGACUGAGACACGGCCCAGACUCCUACGGGAGGCAGCAGUGGGGAAUAUUGGACAAUGGGCGAAAGCCUGAUCCAGCAAUGCCGCGUGAGUGAUGAAGGCCUUAGGGUUGUAAAGCUCUUUUACCCGGGAUGAUAAUGACAGUACCGGGAGAAUAAGCUCCGGCUAACUCCGUG